Molecule: long non-coding RNA, 1224 nt
Filed under: Struthio camelus australis
Lineage: Eukaryota; Metazoa; Chordata; Aves; Struthioniformes; Struthionidae
Description: lncRNA (ENSSCUG00000013444.1)
Source: RNAcentral
CCUUAUGAUAAAAAAUGAUGUAAUUUGGAUGAUGGCGCCCAGACACACACAUCCACUCCCCUUUCCUAAACUGCUGACAACCUAAUGACAGCAUCUCCCGGUCAUAUCCCCAGCCUAUGUCAUAGCAAAAUCCCUGCGUCCUCCUUUAGGACUUCUGCAUGACACAGCCGCUUCUGCAGAGAGGCUGGCUUUUAUUUUUCGGCCAGCCCCGACGGACGUGGCUCAAGGUUAACGCACGCCAGCAGUCCACCGGCAAACGCCCCAUGGUGGAGAUGGCCUCGGGUGCUCUCACGCAGGUGCCCCCAGGAACCUCAGCUGGACCAGCCUCGUUUUGUCCGGUACGUCCAAGGGCCAGAACCGUCUGCUCCGGAGCAGGGAAAUCCCUCUGCAUGAAGGACCGCGUCGCAGCUCGCGAGCGCUCCUGCUCGCCGGGAGAGGGGACAGCAAGGCUGGGGGCAUGUCUGGAGACGCGGCCUCCGCCGGUGCCUUAACGGAGGCGCCGGGGCCACGGCCGGGGCCAGGCCGGCAGAACGCCCACUCACCCGGGGAGAGGAGCCGCAGCAGCUCCAGCGCUGCCCAGCCUCCACCCCGGUAUCGCCGCUCUGCAGCCUCGCGCUGCAUUUGAUCCCCUACAAUACAUGGGAUUUAUCUCUCUCGCUUUCAUGUGCCUUUAAGGAAACACCACUUUUUAUCUCCUUUCUGCUGCUCUUUAUCAUCACAAAGAGUUUCUAAUGAAAUGAGAAAGCGUCUGUUUCUGCAGGCCGGAGCGGCGUGGGUAAUUUCAAUAUAAAACAAACAAGGCGGCUUUCAAAAUUAAAAUUUUAUGUGUGGCAUUUUCUCAUUUAACAGAACGCACAAAGAUGGGCAAAGCCAAUUAACAGGAGGUUGAGACUCAGCGCUCAGCAAAAUUAAACAACGGGAUUCUGCAAGAGGAAUGAUUUGUUCAAAGGGAGCAGGAGGAAGAGACAGAGGAGGAGGGGAAGCAAGGCCGCUCUCAGGAAUUCGCCACCUCUAAAAAAAUCCCCAAAUCCGAACAAAUCUGUAUCCUACUUUGCAUUUCCCAGACAGGCUUCAGAGCCCCUAGGAUUUUCCGCAGUGGAAACCCUGGGGAAUAGCGAGGACAGUGUUUGGGAAGUCCAGCUUCAGGGAGACGGGAAGGUCUUACAUCAGCACUCGGCUGCUGCAGGCACGGGACAGGCGGGCUCCGCACGGCUCUGCCUCCGG